AGAGUUUGAUCCUGGCUCAGGACGAACGCUGGCGGCGUGCUUAACACAUGCAAGUCGAACGAUGAAGCUGGAGCUUGCUCCGGUGGGUUAGUGGCGAACGGGUGAGUAACACGUGAGCAAUCUGCCCUUGACUCUGGGAUAACUGCGGGAAACUGUAGCUAAUACCGGAUACGACCCUUGGAGGCAUCUCUGGGGGUGGAAAGAAUUUCGGUCAAGGAUGAGCUCGCGGCCUAUCAGCUAGUUGGUGAGGUAAUGGCUCACCAAGGCGACGACGGGGAGCCGGCCUGAGAGGGUGACCGGCCACACUGGAACUGAGACACGGUCCAGACUCCUACGGGAGGCAGCAGUGGGGAAUAUUGCACAAUGGGCGAAAGCCUGAUGCAGCAACGCCGCGUGAGGGAUGAAGGCCUUCGGGUUGUAAACCUCUUUUAGCAGGGAAGAAGCGAAAGUGACGGUACCUGCAGAAAAAGCACCGGCUAACUACGUGCCAGCAGCCGCGGUAAUACGUAGGGUGCAAGCGUUGUCCGGAAUUAUUGGGCGUAAAGAGCUCGUAGGCGGUUUGUCGCGUCUGCUGUGAAAAUCCGAGGCUCAACCUCGGACCUGCAGUGGGUACGGGCAAACUAGAGUGCGGUAGGGGAGAUGGGAAUUCCUGGUGUAGCGGUGGAAUGCGCAGAUAUCAUGAGGAACACCGAUGGCGAAAGCACAUCUCUGGGCCGUAACUGACGCUGAGGAGCGAAAGCGUGGGGAGCGAACAGGAUUAGAUACCCUGG
Molecule: ribosomal RNA, 770 nt
Filed under: uncultured Actinomycetes bacterium
Lineage: Bacteria; Bacillati; Actinomycetota; Actinomycetes
Description: bacterial SSU rRNA
Rfam family: Bacterial small subunit ribosomal RNA
Source: RNAcentral